GGAGGGGCCAUGGCUCAGUGGUAGAGUAUCUGCUUGAUAUGCAAAAGUUCUCAGAUUUAACCCCUGCCAUUUCCA
This 75-nucleotide transfer RNA is filed under the name Sphaerodactylus townsendi. RNAcentral's name for it is "tRNA-Ile". The record is from RNAcentral. Lineage: Eukaryota; Metazoa; Chordata; Lepidosauria; Squamata; Sphaerodactylidae.